UUGCUCUUAUGAAGUUAGCGGCGGACGGGUGAGUAACACGUGGGUAACCUGCCCAUAAGACUGGGAUAACUCCGGGAAACCGGGGCUAAUACCGGAUAACAUUUUGAACUGCAUGGUUCGAAAUUGAAAGGCGGCUUCGGCUGUCACUUAUGGAUGGACCCGCGUCGCAUUAGCUAGUUGGUGAGGUAACGGCUCACCAAGGCAACGAUGCGUAGCCGACCUGAGAGGGUGAUCGGCCACACUGGGACUGAGACACGGCCCAGACUCCUACGGGAGGCAGCAGUAGGGAAUCUUCCGCAAUGGACGAAAGUCUGACGGAGCAACGCCGCGUGAGUGAUGAAGGCUUUCGGGUCGUAAAACUCUGUUGUUAGGGAAGAACAAGUGCUAGUUGAAUAAGCUGGCACCUUGACGGUACCUAACCAGAAAGCCACGGCUAACUACGUGCCAGCAGCCGCGGUAAUACGUAGGUGGCAAGCGUUAUCCGGAAUUAUUGGGCGUAAAGCGCGCGCAGGUGGUUUCUUAAGUCUGAUGUGAAAGCCCACGGCUCAACCGUGGAGGGUCAUUGGAAACUGGGAGACUUGAGUGCAGAAGAGGAAAGUGGAAUUCCAUGUGUAGCGGUGAAAUGCGUAGAGAUAUGGAGGAACACCAGUG
RNAcentral lists this ribosomal RNA (651 nucleotides) under Bacillus thuringiensis. RNAcentral's name for it is "bacterial SSU rRNA". It matches the Rfam family "Bacterial small subunit ribosomal RNA", at positions 80 to 714 of the family's 1533-position model. The record is from RNAcentral. Lineage: Bacteria; Bacillati; Bacillota; Bacilli; Caryophanales; Bacillaceae.